RNAcentral lists this small nuclear RNA (23 nucleotides) under Arabidopsis thaliana (thale cress). Its description in RNAcentral is "snRNA_14080". Lineage: Eukaryota; Viridiplantae; Streptophyta; Magnoliopsida; Brassicales; Brassicaceae. The record is from RNAcentral.
AAAAGUACAUAUAUUAGUAGAAA